GUAAGCAGAAGUACUGCAUGCAUGAUGCAAGUUGAUAUUGCACUAGUGUAUUUUUUUGGGAGCAACAAAACCUACAAUUAAUAUGUUAUUUUUAAUUUUUCUAUUUACUAUGGAUAAACGCUUAAAUAUUACACAUAAUAAGUUUAGUAAGAAUUAGUUGAGAACUUGAGAUAUGGUUGAGUAUAAUUAGUCUUGUUGAACAAUAAAAACCAAUCAAGCCUUCG
Molecule: long non-coding RNA, 224 nt
Filed under: Prunus persica (peach)
Lineage: Eukaryota; Viridiplantae; Streptophyta; Magnoliopsida; Rosales; Rosaceae
Description: long non-coding RNA (PPER_LNC007916)
Source: RNAcentral